UACGUAGGGUGCGAGCGUUGUCCGGAAUUACUGGGCGUAAAGCGCUCGUAGGUGGUUUGUCGCGUUGUUCGUGAAAUCCCACGGCUUAACUGUGGGCGUGCGGGCGAUACGGGCAGACUGGAGUACUGCAGGGGAGACUGGAAUUCCUGGUGUAGCGGUGGAAUGCGCAGAUAUCAGGAGGAACACCGGUGGCGAAGGCGGGUCUCUGGGCCGUAACUGACGCUGAGGAGCGAAAGCGUGGGGAGCGAACAGG
Molecule: ribosomal RNA, 253 nt
Filed under: uncultured bacterium
Lineage: Bacteria
Description: partial 16S ribosomal RNA
Rfam family: Bacterial small subunit ribosomal RNA
Source: RNAcentral